UACGGAAGGGGCAAGCGUUGUUCGGAAUCAUUGGGCGUAAAGGGCGCGUAGGUGGUCUUGUAUGUCUUCCGUGAAAGCCCACAGCUCAACUGUGGUGUGUCGGGAGAAACUGCAGGACUUGAGGCUGGGAGGGGCUGGUGGAAUUCCCUGUGUAGCGGUGAAAUGCGUAGAGAUGGGGGAGAACACUCGUGGCGAAGGCGGCCAGCUAGACCAGUUCUGACACUGAGGCGCGAUAGCGUGGGGAGCAAACAGG
RNAcentral lists this ribosomal RNA (253 nucleotides) under uncultured bacterium. RNAcentral's name for it is "partial 16S ribosomal RNA". It matches the Rfam family "Bacterial small subunit ribosomal RNA", at positions 524 to 776 of the family's 1533-position model. The record is from RNAcentral.